GCCCAAAGUCGCACGUGCCUGUGGGUGUCCGCUGGUUCUCAAAUGGUGAGAUUAACCGGUACGGUACAUGGAAUUAACCACUCCAGUCAUUCUUACGGCCAACCGAAAGAGUGAGGACAUCUUGAAGCAACGACGGUGCGGGCCUUU
This is a non-coding RNA of Bartonella quintana JK 73, 147 nucleotides long. The record is from Rfam. Lineage: Bacteria; Pseudomonadati; Pseudomonadota; Alphaproteobacteria; Hyphomicrobiales; Bartonellaceae.